AACUCAGGUUCAAAUCCGAAAAAAAACCUGUUGCUCCUUUCCGGCAUGUCAUUCCCCACUCUCUCUCUCUCAUGUCCGACUCUAUCCCCUGUCCUGUCUCUACCAUAAAGAGACACCUUUUGACUUUUUUGUGGAUAUUCUGUCCCUAAUGAAGAAUUGAAAAUGACUCAAUUUAAACAUGUUUGUUGGCCCACAUGUUCAGUUACAAUCUUUUAUAGCCAGCAAAAUAGACUGUACUCACUACAAGACUUCAGCCAUUCACCAAAUUACCUACCACCUCAGAGUGUCACAAUGUGAGGAGAAAUAAAUGACCUUAAACUGAUGUGUUUGGAGAGGCUGCAGCCACACUUCUUCUGAUCCUCUACAGGCCUUUUACUAACUCGCCCUCCUGAACAGUUUUACUUUGAGCACUUUUUAAAACCAUUUCCUCAUGAUUAAAAAACUGAUCCAGGUCGUUGUUUAUCAGACGUGUAAUACUGGAACAAGUGUUUGGUGAGACGGAGGCUCACAUAACGAUGAACAGGUUGAGGCCAAACUCGUUGCCAUCUCAAAGACGGUGAAGCUUGCUGUGGUCCUCCACCAGCUCCCAUCCAUCUGUCUUUCCAGCUGUUCUCCUGGUGAUGAAUCUGCUCCCCGGGCCCCCAGCCCCACUCCAGCAGAGAGCCCUCUUGUAGAAAGGCCUGUGGAGGAUAUAAUGAAUUAGGUGUCUACCCAGGGUUCCCCGACCUCUGACCCAUGACAUCAUCAAUCAAGGAGGUCCUACACUCAAGUGAAGCGGUGGGCCCCAUAGCCUGGAACGCUUUGCCGGGCCCCUGCCGGCGAGCAGAGGCCACUGAUUUUCACUUGUUUUUAUUUGUUUUCAUAAUCCCGCGGUGUUCGUCCAGGCUGAUGUGUUUGGAAGGAAUACACGGCUCUGUCUAUAAUUUGUUUAAACCUGGGAGAAGAGAAACAUGGAGCGCUAAGUGAGAAGACGACUUGAAGAUGGAUGGAAGAAGUCACAGACGAGGCCUCUCUUGCAACAUAUGGAAAACAUUUAUUUCCCUCCUUCUUUUCUGACGGGGCAUCGAGCUCUCGCUGACGGCCUGCUGGUAUUUUAAAGAAACCAGUCAGCGCUGAGUGUGCACACAGAUCUCCUGAAGUCUUCUUCCAGUGGAAACGUUUAAAAUGGCACAUGUGGAUGUGAAGGAGAAAAUCACUUUGUUUACUUCAGUCUCUAUGAAAUGACAUACCUUCAUUUUGGACCGGCGUCUUUAGGAGACGGGCCUUUUAUUAUUUCAAACAAAACUUGUGCACAACAACGACUGGAAAGAAUUUAAAAGUUUUAAUUUACACCUGAAAGAAUAUUCAUCUUGAACCUUUUUUCUCACACUGGUCUGCAUACUGGCAUUAUUUUUAUUUUAGGACAGAUGUUAAAGUUCAUCUUAAUGUUUUUAGUCUUUUGCUGCUUUCCCUCCAUAUUCUUGAAAAAUAAAAUAAUCUCGAUAUUUUUGGGGGUUUUGCAGAUAUUUUACACCCCUAAAAAAAAAACCUCCAAAAUACAUGUCAAAGGCAGGGCUGUUUAUUUUCUCCAGAUUAAUUUUUUAAGAUUUUGGUUUUAAAUUGUCUUUAGGUCCUGACAGAAAUGAAUAACUCAUGUUCUCUGAACAAGGAACAAAGAGAAUCCAUCAUCUGUAGCAGCUGUAAGCCUGUAAAAACUUUCCUCUUUUUAUUUAUGUUGAAAGAGAUUGUGCUCUGUACGGGUCGUUCGUUGUGUUUUACAGACAAACUGUUGAGUGUGUUUUUGGUUUGUGCACCGGGUUUGAAUUCAUUUGAUUUGGAAGAUUUCCUCUGAUGAUCUUUUU
Long non-coding RNA from Labrus mixtus (cuckoo wrasse), 1841 nucleotides. RefSeq lists it as uncharacterized. The transcript has 2 exons. NCBI's taxonomy places the organism in Eukaryota, Metazoa, Chordata, Actinopteri, Labriformes, Labridae. The record is from RefSeq and is a predicted model, not a curated record.